Molecule: ribosomal RNA, 568 nt
Filed under: Schwanniomyces occidentalis
Lineage: Eukaryota; Fungi; Ascomycota; Pichiomycetes; Serinales; Debaryomycetaceae
Description: eukaryotic LSU rRNA
Rfam family: Eukaryotic large subunit ribosomal RNA
Source: RNAcentral
AUAAGCGGAGGAAAAGAAACCAACAGGGAUUGCCUUAGUAACGGCGAGUGAAGCGGCAAAAGCUCAAAUUUGAAAUCUGGCACCUUCGGUGUCCGAGUUGUAAUUUGAAGAAGGUAACUUUGGGAUUGGCUCUUGUCUAAGUUCCUUGGAACAGGACGUCACAGAGGGUGAGAAUCCCGUGCGAUGAGAUGACCAAUCCUAUGUAAAGUGCUUUCGAAGAGUCGAGUUGUUUGGGAAUGCAGCUCUAAGUGGGUGGUAAAUUCCAUCUAAAGCUAAAUAUUGGCGAGAGACCGAUAGCGAACAAGUACAGUGAUGGAAAGAUGAAAAGAACUUUGAAAAGAGAGUGAAAAAGUACGUGAAAUUGUUGAAAGGGAAGGGCUUGAGAUCAGACUUGGUAUUUUGCAUUCCUUACCUUCGUGGUGGGGUUCCUUGCAGUUUACUGGGCCAGCAUCGGUUUGGAUGGUGGGAUAAUGACAUUGGAAUGUGGCUCUGCUUCGGUAGAGUGUUAUAGCCAGUGUUGAUACCGCCUGUCUAGACCGAGGACUGCUUUGAUAGGAUGCGGCAUAAG